This 65-nucleotide transfer RNA is filed under the name Limenitis fortuna. RNAcentral describes it as "Athyma fortuna tRNA-Phe". The record is from RNAcentral. Lineage: Eukaryota; Metazoa; Arthropoda; Insecta; Lepidoptera; Nymphalidae.
AUUUAAAUAGCUUAAUAAGAGCGUGAUAUUGAAGAUAUUAAGGUGAUUGUUAUAAUCUUUAGAUA